This 528-nucleotide long non-coding RNA is filed under the name Nicotiana benthamiana. Its description in RNAcentral is "long non-coding RNA (NBEN_LNC033768)". Lineage: Eukaryota; Viridiplantae; Streptophyta; Magnoliopsida; Solanales; Solanaceae. The record is from RNAcentral.
CCUCUUAAAUCACAUACUUUUGAAGUCGUCUUUAUUGUAAAGAUCAAUAAAAAUAUUGUAGUUGUCGUAGACAUCAAUUUUAGUAGCACCUUUCAAAGUAAUCAAUUCUUUGAAUGUAGAACUAAGUCUAUCAAUUUGAGGACAGGGUUUAAGAAAUCGGCCCACAAUAGUGUACUUACAGGAUUCUGCCAUAAUGACAUAGUAAUCUUUGGCCUUGGAUAUCACAGUUGGUAUCCUGUUGUGCGUCGUUUGUCUAGCAAAAAAUUUUUCUUUAUCCGGCUGAGUAGAGUUUAGUGUUGAAGAUGAAGGAGCAGUGACAUUGUAGCAUAAGACUGAUGUUCAGUAAUUGUCUCUUUGUUAAGCUUCGUGACUGCUGGUGGGAUAUUUUCUCCAUGUUAACUCGCUGGAAGAGGGCCUUCCGGUGGCUCCAUCAGGUGGAGCGUGACACAAACGCGCUUUUGUAGAAGGAUAUGUUACUAGCCAUUGGAGAGAGAAAAGAGAGAAACCUGCGUCAGUGGAAUAAAAAAU